Molecule: ribosomal RNA, 384 nt
Filed under: uncultured prokaryote
Description: bacterial SSU rRNA
Rfam family: Archaeal small subunit ribosomal RNA
Source: RNAcentral
GCGAAAACUUUACAAUGCUGGCAACAGCGAUAAGGGAACCUCGCGUGCCAGGUUACAAAUCUGGCUGUCGAGAUGCCUAAAAAGCAUUUCAUAGCAAGGGCCGGGCAAGACCGGUGCCAACCGCCGCGGUAACACCGGCGGCUCGAGUGGUAACCGUUAUUAUUGUGUCUAAAGGGUCUGUAGCCGGCCGGAUAAGUCUCUUGAGAAAUCUGGCAGCUUAACUGUCAGGCUUUCAGGAGAUACUGUCUGGCUCGAGGCCGGGAGAGGUGAGAGGUACUUCAGGGGUAGGGGUGAAAUCUUGUAAUCCUUGAAGGACCACCAGUGGCGAAGGUGUCUCAGCAGAACGGACCUGACGGCAAGGGACGAAAGCUAGGGGCACGAACC